UUUUCAUCAGACAAUCUGUGUGAGCACUGCAAAGUACGCUUCUUUAAGGUAAGGAGGUGAUCCAACCGCAGGUUCCCCUACGGUUACCUUGUUACGACUUCACCCCAGUCAUGAAUCACAAAGUGGUAAGCGCCCUCCCGAAGGUUAAGCUACCUACUUCUUUUGCAACCCACUCCCAUGGUGUGACGGGCGGUGUGUACAAGGCCCGGGAACGUAUUCACCGUGGCAUUCUGAUCCACGAUUACUAGCGAUUCCGACUUCAUGGAGUCGAGUUGCAGACUCCAAUCCGGACUACGACGCACUUUAUGAGGUCCGCUUGCUCUCGCGAGGUCGCUUCUCUUUGUAUGCGCCAUUGUAGCACGUGUGUAGCCCUGGUCGUAAGGGCCAUGAUGACUUGACGUCAUCCCCACCUUCCUCCAGUUUAUCACUGGCAGUCUCCUUUGAGUUCCCGGCCGGACCGCUGGCAACAAAGGAUAAGGGUUGCGCUCGUUGCGGGACUUAACCCAACAUUUCACAACACGAGCUGACGACAGCCAUGCAGCACCUGUCUCACGGUUCCCGAAGGCACAUUCUCAUCUCUGAAAACUUCCGUGGAUGUCAAGACCAGGUAAGGUUCUUCGCGUUGCAUCGAAUUAAACCACAUGCUCCACCGCUUGUGCGGGCCCCCGUCAAUUCAUUUGAGUUUUAACCUUGCGGCCGUACUCCCCAGGCGGUCUACUUAACGCGUUAGCUCCGGAAGCCACGCCUCAAGGGCACAACCUCCAAGUAGACAUCGUUUACGGCGUGGACUACCAGGGUAUCUAAUCCUGUUUGCUCCCCACGCUUUCGCACCUGAGCGUCAGUCUUUGUCCAGGGGGCCGCCUUCGCCACCGGUAUUCCUCCAGAUCUCUACGCAUUUCACNNNNNNNNNNNNNNNNNNNNCCUGGAAUUCUACCCCCCUCUACAAGACUCAAGCCUGCCAGUUUCGAAUGCAGUUCCCAGGUUGAGCCCGGGGAUUUCACAUCCGACUUGACAGACCGCCUGCGUGCGCUUUACGCCCAGUAAUUCCGAUUAACGCUUGCACCCUCCGUAUUACCGCGGCUGCUGGCACGGAGUUAGCCGGUGCUUCUUCUGCGGGUAACGUCAAUUGCUGCGGUUAUUAACCACAACACCUUCCUCCCCGCUGAAAGUACUUUACAACCCGAAGGCCUUCUUCAUACACGCGGCAUGGCUGCAUCAGGCUUGCGCCCAUUGUGCAAUAUUCCCCACUGCUGCCUCCCGUAGGAGUCUGGACCGUGUCUCAGUUCCAGUGUGGCUGGUCAUCCUCUCAGACCAGCUAGGGAUCGUCGCCUUGGUGAGCCGUUACCUCACCAACAAGCUAAUCCCAUCUGGGCACAUCUGAUGGCAAGAGGCCCGAAGGUCCCCCUCUUUGGUCUUGCGACGUUAUGCGGUAUUAGCCACCGUUUCCAGUAGUUAUCCCCCUCCAUCAGGCAGUUUCCCAGACAUUACUCACCCGUCCGCCACUCGUCAGCAAAGCAGCAAGCUGCUUCCUGUUACCGUUCGACUUGCAUGUGUUAGGCCUGCCGCCAGCGUUCAAUCUGAGCCAUGAUCAAACUCUUCAAUUUAAAAGUUUGAUGCUCAAUGAAUUAAACUUCGUAAUGAAUUACGUGUUCACUCUUGAGACUUGGUAUUCAUUUUUCGUCNNNNNNNNNNNNNNNNNNNNCACUCUUGAGACUUGGUAUUCAUUUUUCGUCCGAGGACGUCAAGAAUCCGUAUCUUCGAGUGCCCACACAGAUUGUCUGAUAAAUUGUUAAAGAGCAGGUGCGACGCGGCUUUCAGCUCAUCGUCGCGAGGUGGCGUAUAUUACGCUUUCCUCUUUCAGAGUCAA
This 1867-nucleotide ribosomal RNA is filed under the name Salmonella enterica subsp. enterica serovar Paratyphi A. RNAcentral describes it as "16S ribosomal RNA". The record is from RNAcentral. Lineage: Bacteria; Pseudomonadati; Pseudomonadota; Gammaproteobacteria; Enterobacterales; Enterobacteriaceae.